CCCGCCCCGGCGGGACGGACCGACCGGCGGACGGGGCACGGUCUGCGCGGCUCCAGGCAAAGGGAGAGCUGGAUUCGUGGCGCCGGUGGGAGCAGAGACGGAGAGAGGGCACACCUGAUGCGAACUCGGCUCGAGACCUGUGCCUAACAGGAAGAGAUGAGCUUUGGAAAGCAGGCACAAGAUGGCAAGAGGGAUGCCACGUGCUGCAGCAGCCUCAGGACAGAGGCAGUCUGGGAUUCACAGGCCUUGUGCAGGCUGAAAUGCCAGCAGACAUUACCGUGACAUGCAGCAUUACACAAGCGGCGUCACGCUCAGCUGAGCUUUGUGGAGGAUGUUGACAGAGCAGAGAAGAUUUCAGGUUAGCUCACAGAAAUCAUCUGAGAGCUCAAGACCUCAUCCCUCAGGGACUACAAGGCUUUAAUCAAGUUACAAAAACUCCAUAGGCACAUGGGAGUAGGUUUUAAGUAACCUGCUGGAUUGCAGAAGGAGAACCUGCAGAGAGAGCUCCAGGAAGGGGAAUUCUCCCUCUCCAGAGUGACCACAGCCAUAGGAGGGUCAAAGGUCAGUGCCUGGAGCCUGAUUUAUGACUGACCACUGUGAAGAGAUGCUUCCACACAGAUUUAUGGUCAGGAUCCCAUUACUGAGCGUGUUUGGUAGCUUGCAGGGCACUGGAGAAAUGGCCAAAGCUGGCUGUGGGUUAAUCCUGGAUCCUGCUCUGGAGCUAGUUGACAAAUGGUAAUAUGAAAGACUCGAUCUUGCUUCGAAGACUGUUUCCAUGCUAAGAGACAUCUCCAGCAGUGCUGUUACUGGCAGGCCUGCUGGUCUGUUUACUUCAAGAACAAACUAAUCUCUGGGCUGUAGCUAAGUAGAAACUGUAGGUUUCUGUUUAUGCUGUGAGCUUAACUGAAGUUUUAGCUAAAUAAAUAAUUUAUAGAGAACUGCA
Long non-coding RNA from Haemorhous mexicanus (house finch), 943 nucleotides. RefSeq lists it as uncharacterized. Lineage: Eukaryota; Metazoa; Chordata; Aves; Passeriformes; Fringillidae. The record is from RefSeq and is a predicted model, not a curated record. The transcript is spliced from 2 exons.